AACAGGAUUAGAUACCCUGGUAGUCCACGCCGUAAACGAUGUCGACUUGGAGGUUGUGCCCUUGAGGCGUGGCUUCCGGAGCUAACGCGUUAAGUCGACCGCCUGGGGAGUACGGCCGCAAGGUUAAAACUCAAAUGAAUUGACGGGGGCCCGCACAAGCGGUGGAGCAUGUGGUUUAAUUCGAUGCAACGCGAAGAACCUUACCUACUCUUGACAUCCAGAGAACUUAGCAGAGAUGCUUCGGUGCCUUCGGGAACUCUGAGACAGGUGCUGCAUGGCUGUCGUCAGCUCGUGUUGUGAAAUGUUGGGUUAAGUCCCGCAACGAGCGCAACCCUUAUCCUUUGUUGCCAGCACGUAAUGGUGGGAACUCAAAGGAGACUGCCGGUGAUAAACCGGAGGAAGGUGGGGAUGACGUCAAGUCAUUAUGGCCCUUACGAGUAGGGCUACACACGUGCUACAAUGGCAUAUACAAAGAGAAGCGAACUCGCGAGAGCAAGCGGACCUCAUAAAGUAUGUCGUAGUCCGGAUUGGAGUCUGCAACUCGACUCCAUGAAGUCGGAAUCGCUAGUAAUCGUAGAUCAGAAUGCUACGGUGAAUACGUUCCCGGGCCUUGUACACACCGCCCGUCACACCAUGGGAGUGGGUUGCAAAAGAAGUAGGUAGCUUAACCUUCGGGAGGGCGCUUACCACUUUGUGAUUCAUGACUGGGGUGAAGUCGUAACAAGGUAACC
This 731-nucleotide ribosomal RNA is filed under the name uncultured bacterium. RNAcentral's name for it is "bacterial SSU rRNA". It matches the Rfam family "Bacterial small subunit ribosomal RNA", at positions 771 to 1501 of the family's 1533-position model. The record is from RNAcentral.